GGCCAGACUCCUACGGGAGGCAGCAGUGAGGAAUAUUGGUCAGUGGUCGGGAGACUGAACCAGCCAAGCCGCGUGAGGGAUGAAGGUACAGAGUAUCGUAAACCUCUUUUGCCGGGGAGCAGAGGUCCGGACGUGUCCGGGCCGGGAGAGUACCCGGAGAAAAAGCAUCGGCUAACUCCGUGCCAGCAGCCGCGGUAAUACGGAGGAUGCGAGCGUUAUCCGGAUUUAUUGGGUUUAAAGGGAGCGUAGGCCGGUCUUUAAGCGUGCCGUGAAAUUUUGUGGCUCAACCAUGAGAGUGCGGCGCGAACUGGAGACCUUGAGUGCGCGGAAGGCAGGCGGAAUUCGUGGUGUAGC
Molecule: ribosomal RNA, 354 nt
Filed under: uncultured bacterium
Lineage: Bacteria
Description: bacterial SSU rRNA
Rfam family: Bacterial small subunit ribosomal RNA
Source: RNAcentral